RNAcentral lists this ribosomal RNA (1378 nucleotides) under Enterococcus durans. Its description in RNAcentral is "bacterial SSU rRNA". It matches the Rfam family "Bacterial small subunit ribosomal RNA", at positions 59 to 1410 of the family's 1533-position model. The record is from RNAcentral. Lineage: Bacteria; Bacillati; Bacillota; Bacilli; Lactobacillales; Enterococcaceae.
CAGUCGUACGCUUCUUUUUCCCCGGAGCUUGCUCCACCGGAAAAAGAAGAGUGGCGAACGGGUGAGUAACACGUGGGUAACCUGCCCAUCAGAAGGGGAUAACACUUGGAAACAGGUGCUAAUACCGUAUAACAAUCGAAACCGCAUGGUUUUGAUUUGAAAGGCGCUUUCGGGUGUCGCUGAUGGAUGGACCCGCGGUGCAUUAGCUAGUUGGUGAGGUAACGGCUCACCAAGGCCACGAUGCAUAGCCGACCUGAGAGGGUGAUCGGCCACAUUGGGACUGAGACACGGCCCAAACUCCUACGGGAGGCAGCAGUAGGGAAUCUUCGGCAAUGGACGAAAGUCUGACCGAGCAACGCCGCGUGAGUGAAGAAGGUUUUCGGAUCGUAAAACUCUGUUGUUAGAGAAGAACAAGGAUGAGAGUAACUGUUCAUCCCUUGACGGUAUCUAACCAGAAAGCCACGGCUAACUACGUGCCAGCAGCCGCGGUAAUACGUAGGUGGCAAGCGUUGUCCGGAUUUAUUGGGCGUAAAGCGAGCGCAGGCGGUUUCUUAAGUCUGAUGUGAAAGCCCCCGGCUCAACCGGGGAGGGUCAUUGGAAACUGGGAGACUUGAGUGCAGAAGAGGAGAGUGGAAUUCCAUGUGUAGCGGUGAAAUGCGUAGAUAUAUGGAGGAACACCAGUGGCGAAGGCGGCUCUCUGGUCUGUAACUGACGCUGAGGCUCGAAAGCGUGGGGAGCAAACAGGAUUAGAUACCCUGGUAGUCCACGCCGUAAACGAUGAGUGCUAAGUGUUGGAGGGUUUCCGCCCUUCAGUGCUGCAGCUAACGCAUUAAGCACUCCGCCUGGGGAGUACGACCGCAAGGUUGAAACUCAAAGGAAUUGACGGGGGCCCGCACAAGCGGUGGAGCAUGUGGUUUAAUUCGAAGCAACGCGAAGAACCUUACCAGGUCUUGACAUCCUUUGACCACUCUAGAGAUAGAGCUUCCCCUUCGGGGGCAAAGUGACAGGUGGUGCAUGGUUGUCGUCAGCUCGUGUCGUGAGAUGUUGGGUUAAGUCCCGCAACGAGCGCAACCCUUAUUGUUAGUUGCCAUCAUUCAGUUGGGCACUCUAGCAAGACUGCCGGUGACAAACCGGAGGAAGGUGGGGAUGACGUCAAAUCAUCAUGCCCCUUAUGACCUGGGCUACACACGUGCUACAAUGGGAAGUACAACGAGUCGCGAAGUCGCGAGGCUAAGCUAAUCUCUUAAAGCUUCUCUCAGUUCGGAUUGUAGGCUGCAACUCGCCUACAUGAAGCCGGAAUCGCUAGUAAUCGCGGAUCAGCACGCCGCGGUGAAUACGUUCCCGGGCCUUGUACACACCGCCCGUCACACCACGAGAG